AUUCUAUUCUGUGUUCACCCCACACACAUAACCAAUUACUUCUAUGUCAACAGCAACUCUCUAAGUACAAUUUUUUCCACUCUAUUUCACUUUUACUAAAAUCCAACGGCCACCGGCAGCCAUUUUGUUAGGAGACCGGAAAUAGUACCAACGCUUUACAUUCGUUAAUACCUUUCAAACAAAAAAAUCAUGAAAUU
Long non-coding RNA from Bradysia coprophila, 197 nucleotides. NCBI's taxonomy places the organism in Eukaryota, Metazoa, Arthropoda, Insecta, Diptera, Sciaridae. The record is from RefSeq and is a predicted model, not a curated record.